UACGAAGGGGGCUAGCGUUGUUCGGAAUUACUGGGCGUAAAGCGCACGUAGGCGGGUCGUUAAGUCAGGGGUGAAAUCCCAGAGCUCAACUCUGGAACUGCCUUUGAUACUGGCGACCUAGAGUCCGGAAGAGGUUAGUGGAAUUCCCAGUGUAGAGGUGAAAUUCGUAGAUAUUGGGAAGAACACCAGUGGCGAAGGCGGCUAACUGGGACGUUACUGACGCUGAGACGCGAAAGCGUGGGGAGCAAACAGG
This 253-nucleotide ribosomal RNA is filed under the name uncultured bacterium. RNAcentral describes it as "partial 16S ribosomal RNA". It matches the Rfam family "Bacterial small subunit ribosomal RNA", at positions 524 to 776 of the family's 1533-position model. The record is from RNAcentral.